RNAcentral lists this ribosomal RNA (434 nucleotides) under uncultured bacterium. RNAcentral describes it as "partial 16S ribosomal RNA". It matches the Rfam family "Bacterial small subunit ribosomal RNA", at positions 29 to 507 of the family's 1533-position model. The record is from RNAcentral.
AGCGAACGCUGGCGGCAGGCCUAACACAUGCAAGUCGAACGAACCUUUCGGGGUUAGUGGCGGACGGGUGAGUAACACGUGGGAACGUGCCUUUAGGUUCGGAAUAACUCAGGGAAACUUGUGCUAAUACCGAAUGUGCCCUUCGGGGGAAAGAUUUAUCGCCUAGAGAGCGGCCCGCGUCUGAUUAGCUAGUUGGUUGAGGUAAUGGCUCACCAAGGCGACGAUCAGUAGCUGGUCUGAGAGGAUGAUCAGCCACAUUGGGACUGAGACACGGCCCAAACUCCUACGGGAGGCAGCAGUGGGGAAUCUUGCGCAAUGGGCGAAAGCCUGACGCAGCCAUGCCGCGUGAAUGAUGAAGGUCUUAGGAUUGUAAAAUUCUUUCACCGGGGACGAUAAUGACGGUACCCGGAGAAGAAGCCCCGGCUAACUUCGUG